Molecule: small nucleolar RNA, 107 nt
Filed under: Oryza punctata
Lineage: Eukaryota; Viridiplantae; Streptophyta; Magnoliopsida; Poales; Poaceae
Description: Plant small nucleolar RNA R71
Rfam family: Plant small nucleolar RNA R71
About the family: R71 is a member of the C/D box family of snoRNAs containing the C (UGAUGA) and D (CUGA) box motifs. Multiple nearly identical copies of this snoRNA have been identified in Arabidopsis, and it is thought to function as a 2'-O-ribose methylation guide for 18S ribosomal RNA.
Source: Rfam by way of RNAcentral
AUCCCAUGAUGCGGACAGGCGGCGACGUAUUCCUACAAUCUUUCCCAUGCCUCCAGGAUCAUCUCAUUUUUUGUCUGCUAGAAGCUGGAUAUUCUUCCAUGAAGGGC